UAGGGAAUCUUCGGCAAUGGACGAAAGUCUGACCGAGCAACGCCGCGUGAGUGAAGAAGGUUUUCGGAUCGUAAAACUCUGUUGUUAGAGAAGAACAAGGACGUUAGUAACUGAACGUCCCCUGACGGUAUCUAACCAGAAAGCCACGGCUAACUACGUGCCAGCAGCCGCGGUAAUACGUAGGUGGCAAGCGUUGUCCGGAUUUAUUGGGCGUAAAGCGAGCGCAGGCGGUUUCUUAAGUCUGAUGUGAAAGCCCCCGGCUCAACCGGGGAGGGUCAUUGGAAACUGGGAGACUUGGGUGCAGAGGAGGGGGGUGGAAUUCCAUGUGUGGCGGUGAAAUGCGUAGAUAUAUGGAGGAACACCAGUGGCGAAGGCGGCUCUCUGGUCUGUAACUGACGCUGAGGCUCGAAAGCGUGGGGAGCAAACAGG
This 429-nucleotide ribosomal RNA is filed under the name Gemmatimonadota bacterium. RNAcentral describes it as "Gemmatimonadetes bacterium partial 16S ribosomal RNA". It matches the Rfam family "Bacterial small subunit ribosomal RNA", at positions 355 to 776 of the family's 1533-position model. The record is from RNAcentral. Lineage: Bacteria; Pseudomonadati; Gemmatimonadota.